RNAcentral lists this signal recognition particle RNA (97 nucleotides) under Hyphomicrobiales bacterium. RNAcentral's name for it is "signal recognition particle sRNA small type". It matches the Rfam family "Bacterial small signal recognition particle RNA". From Rfam's summary of the family: The signal recognition particle (SRP) is a universally conserved ribonucleoprotein involved in the co-translational targeting of proteins to membranes. Archaeal SRP consists of a 7S RNA and homologues of the eukaryotic SRP19 and SRP54 proteins. Lineage: Bacteria; Pseudomonadati; Pseudomonadota; Alphaproteobacteria; Hyphomicrobiales. The record is from RNAcentral.
AGAAGUUGGCAAUAGGCGUAUUUGUCGCCAACCGAGUCAGAUCUGGAAAGAAGCAGCUCUAACGAUUAAAGUAUGGGUUAUUCGUUCAACUUCUCAC